Vicia faba (fava bean) is the source of this 282-nucleotide non-coding RNA. Lineage: Eukaryota; Viridiplantae; Streptophyta; Magnoliopsida; Fabales; Fabaceae. The record is from the annotation of a GenBank genome assembly.
AUGUCAUUUAGGCUCAUGUCCAUCAAACAGUGGAAAAGAAAACUGUGUGUGACAAGUCGUCAGAAUUUGAGUUUUGCGGUGGUUUUUUUGGAGUGUUAUGAGCUGCUGUUUUUAGGAUGCUGUUUUGGACAGAAGAUACUACAAAAAUUGGCUUGUUAUGCAUUGAAACAAGGCUGGAAAAAUGGGCUGCUUUGUUGUUUUCUUGUACUGGUUUAUAGGUUGAUGAAGAAAACAUGCAGAUUGGAAGAUGAAGCUUUGAUAAUGAAGGCAUGGAGAAUUUGA